UCUGGACAACGUUUGGACUCUACGUAAAUGCGCCAACGGCCAGUCCCUUUCUGCGUUGUUCUUUGCGGUUAUUGUGAAUGGAGUGACCGACUUGAAGGAGGCAGAGAAUAGCAGAUCCUGGUCGAUCCACCCAGUUUUCCGCUGCCGUCGCUGCGUUGCCGACACGGAUGGAGGGAUAAGCAGCAGCCCAGACUGUUGCGUGAUGUAUG
This is a long non-coding RNA of Drosophila guanche, 209 nucleotides long. RefSeq lists it as uncharacterized. Lineage: Eukaryota; Metazoa; Arthropoda; Insecta; Diptera; Drosophilidae. The record is from RefSeq and is a predicted model, not a curated record. The transcript has 3 exons.